Molecule: ribosomal RNA, 232 nt
Filed under: uncultured bacterium
Lineage: Bacteria
Description: partial 16S ribosomal RNA
Rfam family: Bacterial small subunit ribosomal RNA
Source: RNAcentral
CGGACGGGUGAGUAAUGCUUGGGAAUCUAGCUUAUGGAGGGGGAUAACUACGGGAAACUGUAGCUAAUACCGCAUAAUAUUGAAAGAUUAAAGGGUGGGACUUUCGGGCCACCUGCCAUGAGAUGAGCCCAAGUGGGAUUAGGUAGUUGGUUAGGUAAAGGCUGACCAAGCCGACGAUCUCUAGCUGGUCUGAGAGGAUGACCAGCCACACUGGAACUGAGACACGGUCCAG